AUUUUUAAUUGACAUAG
This 17-nucleotide transfer RNA is filed under the name Ampelocissus acetosa. Its description in RNAcentral is "partial tRNA-Phe". Lineage: Eukaryota; Viridiplantae; Streptophyta; Magnoliopsida; Vitales; Vitaceae. The record is from RNAcentral.